AGGUGACACCAUCAUGCAUGACUACUCCAAGGAAUUGCCUGUCUCUGCUAUCUCCCACACCCAACUAUAGCAAACUGGUUUUGAGAAUCAAGCUUGGGUACACCUAUUUCUUUAAGGCCUUACAAAGCUCCCUCUCACUGCUUCUGUCCCUCACGGACUGGUAGCCAAGGGACCUCAAGGAAAAAGGAAAACCCCACACUUUUCAGGUCAACACAUGGAGAAAACAGCCUUAUACAGUCACAGACUAUGG
Molecule: non-coding RNA, 250 nt
Organism: Myodes glareolus (Bank vole)
Lineage: Eukaryota; Metazoa; Chordata; Mammalia; Rodentia; Cricetidae
Source: RefSeq, a predicted model, not a curated record